Molecule: ribosomal RNA, 763 nt
Filed under: uncultured bacterium
Lineage: Bacteria
Description: bacterial SSU rRNA
Rfam family: Bacterial small subunit ribosomal RNA
Source: RNAcentral
CGACGAACUUCUUUAUCACCGAGUGCUUGCACUCACCGAUAAAGAUUUGAGUGGCGAACGGGUGAGUAACACGUGGGCAACCUGCCCAAAAGAGGGGGAUAACACUUGGAAACAGGUGCUAAUACCGCAUAACCAUAGUUACCGCAUGGUAACUAUGUAAAAGGUGGCUAUGCUACCGCUUUUGGAUGGGCCCGCGGCGCAUUAGCUAGUUGGUGGGGUAAAGGCUUACCAAGGCAAUGAUGCGUAGCCGAACUGAGAGGUUGAUCGGCCACGUUGGUACUGAGACACGGCCCAAACUCCUACGGGAGGCAGCAGUAGGGAAUCUUCCACAAUGGGCGAAAGCCUGAUGGAGCAACGCCGCGUGGGUGAAGAAGGUCUUCGGAUCGUAAAACCCUGUUGUUAGAGAAGAAAGUGCGUGAGAGUAACUGUUCACGUUUCGACGGUAUCUAACCAGAAAGCCACGGCUAACUACGUGCCAGCAGCCGCGGUAAUACGUAGGUGGCAAGCGUUAUCCGGAUUUAUUGGGCGUAAAGGGAACGCAGGCGGUCUUUUAAGUCUGAUGUGAAAGCCUUCGGCUUAACCGGAGUAGUGCAUUGGAAACUGGGAGACUUGAGUGCAGAAGAGGAGAGUGGAACUCCAUGUGUAGCGGUGAAAUGCGCAGAUAUAUGGAAGAACACCAGUGGCGAAAGCGGCUCUCUGGUCUGUAACUGACGCUGAGGUUCGAAAGCGUGGGUAGCAAACAGGAUUAGAUACCCUGGUAGUC